GUCUUCGUAGUGUAGUGGUUAGCAUGUCUGCUUUAUACGCAGAAGGUCCUAGGUUUGCACCCCAGGUGGAGCCA
Molecule: transfer RNA, 74 nt
Filed under: Pteropus alecto (black flying fox)
Lineage: Eukaryota; Metazoa; Chordata; Mammalia; Chiroptera; Pteropodidae
Also listed under: 1 other name
Rfam family: tRNA
About the family: Transfer RNA (tRNA) molecules are approximately 80 nucleotides in length. Their secondary structure includes four short double-helical elements and three loops (D, anti-codon, and T loops).
Source: Rfam by way of RNAcentral